GACGAACGCUGGCGGCGUGCUUAACACAUGCAAGUCGAACGGAAAGGCCCUGCUUUUGUGGGGUGCUCGAGUGGCGAACGGGUGAGUAACACGUGAGUAACCUGCCCUUGACUUUGGGAUAACUUCAGGAAACUGGGGCUAAUACCGGAUAGGAGCUCCUGCUGCAGGGUGGGGGUUGGAAAGUUUCGGCGGUUGGGGAUGGACUCGCGGCUUAUCAGCUUGUUGGUUGGGUAGUGGCUUACCAAGGCUUUGACGGGUAGCCGGCCUGAGAGGGUGACCGGCCACAUUGGUACUGAGAUACGGCACAGACUCCUACGGGAGGCAGCAGUGGGGAAUAUUGCACAAUGGGCGGAAGCCUGAUGCAGCAACGCCGCGUGCGGGAUGACGGCCUUCGGGUUGUAAACCGCUUUCGCCUGUGACGAAGCGUGAGUGACGGUAAUGGGUAAAGAAGCACCGGCUAACUACGUG
RNAcentral lists this ribosomal RNA (468 nucleotides) under uncultured bacterium. Its description in RNAcentral is "partial 16S ribosomal RNA". It matches the Rfam family "Bacterial small subunit ribosomal RNA", at positions 28 to 507 of the family's 1533-position model. The record is from RNAcentral.